GCCUAGCCCAGAUGGAAGCGGCAUCCUUUUUUGACCCGUUUUUACGGGACAAAAAAGAUAUAGCGCACAGCUGGAAAAAGC
RNAcentral lists this small RNA (81 nucleotides) under Flavobacterium frigoris. Its description in RNAcentral is "Flavo-1 RNA". It matches the Rfam family "Flavo-1 RNA". The record is from RNAcentral. Lineage: Bacteria; Pseudomonadati; Bacteroidota; Flavobacteriia; Flavobacteriales; Flavobacteriaceae.